RNAcentral lists this ribosomal RNA (503 nucleotides) under uncultured bacterium. RNAcentral describes it as "bacterial SSU rRNA". It matches the Rfam family "Bacterial small subunit ribosomal RNA", at positions 32 to 510 of the family's 1533-position model. The record is from RNAcentral.
AAUCAACGCUGGCGGCGUGCCUCAGACAUGCAAGUCGAACGCGAAAGUCCCCUUCGGGGGACAAGUAGAGUGGCGCACGGGUGAGUAACACGUAGGUAAUCUACCUUUGGAUGGGGAAUAACAACCGGAAACGGUUGCUAAUACCGCAUAAUGCAGCGGCACCUAAUGGUGACAGUUGUUAAAGCGGGGGAUCGAAAGACCUCGCGUCUGAAGAGGAGCCUGCGGCGGAUUAGCUAGUGGUAAGGUAAUGGCUUACCAAGGCUACGAUCCGUAACCGGCCUGAGAGGGCGGUCGGUCACACUGACACUGACAUACGGGUCAGACUCCUACGGGAGGCAGCAGUCGGGAAUUUUGGGCAAUGGGCGAAAGCCUGACCCAGCAACGCCGCGUGAAGGAUGAAAUCCCUCGGGAUGUAAACUUCGCAAGAACGGGAAGAAUAAGCGAGAGUUAAUAUCUUUCGUGAUGACGGUUACCGUUUGUAAGCUCCGGCUAACUCCGUGCCA